RNAcentral lists this non-coding RNA (365 nucleotides) under Candidatus Nitrotoga sp. M5. The record is from RNAcentral. Lineage: Bacteria; Pseudomonadati; Pseudomonadota; Betaproteobacteria; Nitrosomonadales; Gallionellaceae.
AUACUUCGCGCCGCUUAAGGUGCCGGACGCAAGAAUGCGUCUGGUUAAACGAGAAACAGGUGAGGAGUUAACUCCUAAGGCCUGUGCUGCCCCCGCAACGGUAAGCAGGUGUGGACGUGUCAAUAAUCUGGAUGUUUCAAAAAUUCACGUGAUGCUCGCGCAGUAUUCGUUUAAUAAAUAAAUUUAAUAGGGAAGCAGCGGUUUCUUCCUGGUUAGUUAAAUUUAUAGUAGACAUAAACUAGCAAGCGACAAAUGUAAGCGCGUAAGUUAUGGAAUGCUUGAGUUAAGCCACUGUGAGCAAUCAUGGGAAGGCGAUGCGUCUAGUCCUGCAAGCCCGGAUACCGGCCUUGUGCACAGGAGCCUCA